AUAAAAACUAAGAUGUCAGACUCGAAGUGUGGGGUAUGACUUUAUCUUUCCCUGGAUCUGCAUGUGGAGAGGACGGAGAGUGGGUGCACACAAGCCAAAUCUGAGCUACUAUCACACUGAAGCACACAAUGGCCACGAAAGGCAUGAGGUUGAAAUCCACAAAAGAGGUGUUCCCUCUGGCACAUGUGUGCAACGACACAAAUAAGAUGACAUUAAUUAACCCCCAAGGAGCCAAACUCAAUAUCUACAAGCGAAAAGUGGAACAGGCAAUUCAAUCCUAUGAAAAGCGCUUGAAUAAAAUUGUUUGGCGAGCAUUAUCUCAAGAGGAAAAAGAAAAGUUAGAUGCAAACAAACCAAUACAGUACUUGGAAAACAAAACAGUUUUAAACCAGGCUUUAGAACGGUUGAAUUGGCCCGUUUCACUGAAAGAGCUGUCAAUGCUGGAAAGUGAAAUCCUAGCUGGGAAAAUGUACAUCCAGCAGGCCAUGGAACUCCAGGAGGCUGCCAAGAAGAAUUAUGCAAACAAGGCCCCGGGAGAGCAACAGAAAUUGCAAGGAAAUCCAACAAAGAAAACCAAAUCAAAAAGACCAGAUCCCCUCAAAGGACAGAAGGUUAUUGCAAGAUGUGAUGAAAAUGGCUUUUAUUUUCCAGGAGUUGUGAAGAAGUGUGUGAGCCGCACCCAAGCACUGGUGGGCUUCAGUUACGGAGACACCAAGGUCGUGUCCACCUCCUUCAUCACGCCUGUGGGGGGCGCCAUGCCCUGCCCGCUGCUCCAGGUUGGAGAUUAUGUGUUUGCCAAAAUUGUGAUACCCAAAGGAUUUGACUUCUAUGUCCCUGCCAUUGUCAUAGCACUUCCCAAUAAGCAUGUGGCCACAGAAAAAUUCUACACAGUUUUGAAGUGUAACAACCGGAGAGAAUUUUGCCCUCGGAGUGCACUUAUUAAGAUCAGCCAAAACAAGUAUGCGCUCUCUUGCUCUCAUAUAAAGUCACCCCCAAUUCCUGAGGAUCCAGAAGUAGAGGAUGUGGAGGCGAGGAAUUCUGCUUUCCUCUUCUGGCCACUGAAAGAAGCGGACACGCAGGAUUCCAGAGAGCCAAGACGAGAGAAGCCCAGGAGGAAAAAGAGGCCCGCCAAGCAGCCACUCCUGCAGGCGGCGCCCUCGGACUCGGACGGCUCCUCCCACGGCACCAGCUCCCAUGGCCCACCUCCACUUCCCCGCGGCCGGGCGUCUAGGACUCAGCAGCCACGCCAUCAUUGCCGCACCUCCACCUCGAGCAGCCCUGCCCUGUACUCUCCAAGCCACCCACAGCAGCAAAGGGCUGAGGAGCGUCCCUGAGACACUUUAAGGCCGUCUGGUGGCAGCUAUGUUUAAGAGACCAGCGUCCUUCCAGGCUGCUCAGACCUCAGCGUUGACACUGAAACUGGCCCCUCCGCGGAGUCUGUUGUAGGUAACUCUAAUUGAGCCCGAAACCAGAAUAAAAACUCUUACAUUGGAAACAUUUC
Molecule: small RNA, 1501 nt
Filed under: Pan troglodytes (chimpanzee)
Lineage: Eukaryota; Metazoa; Chordata; Mammalia; Primates; Hominidae
Description: processed transcript
Source: RNAcentral